RNAcentral lists this ribosomal RNA (271 nucleotides) under uncultured bacterium. RNAcentral's name for it is "partial 16S ribosomal RNA". It matches the Rfam family "Bacterial small subunit ribosomal RNA", at positions 524 to 794 of the family's 1533-position model. The record is from RNAcentral.
UACAGAGGGUGCGAGCGUUAAUCGGAAUUACUGGGCGUAAAGGGCGCGUAGGCGGUCAUUUAAGUUGGAUGUGAAAUCCCUGGGCUUAACCUAGGAACUGCAUUCAAUACUGGGUGACUGGAGUGCAGUAGAGGAUAGUGGAAUUUCCGGUGUAGCGGUGAAAUGCGUAGAUAUCGGAAGGAACACCAGUGGCGAAGGCGGCUAUCUGGACUGACACUGACGCUGAGGCGCGAAAGCGUGGGGAGCAAACAGGAUUAGAAACCCCAGUAGU